This 378-nucleotide ribosomal RNA is filed under the name uncultured Escherichia sp. RNAcentral describes it as "bacterial SSU rRNA". It matches the Rfam family "Bacterial small subunit ribosomal RNA", at positions 965 to 1343 of the family's 1533-position model. Lineage: Bacteria; Pseudomonadati; Pseudomonadota; Gammaproteobacteria; Enterobacterales; Enterobacteriaceae. The record is from RNAcentral.
AGAACCUUACCUGGUCUUGACAUCCACGGAAGUUUUCAGAGAUGAGAAUGUGCCUUCGGGAACCGUGAGACAGGUGCUGCAUGGCUGUCGUCAGCUCGUGUUGUGAAAUGUUGGGUUAAGUCCCGCAACGAGCGCAACCCUUAUCCUUUGUUGCCAGCGGUCCGGCCGGGAACUCAAAGGAGACUGCCAGUGAUAAACUGGAGGAAGGUGGGGAUGACGUCAAGUCAUCAUGGCCCUUACGACCAGGGCUACACACGUGCUACAAUGGCGCAUACAAAGAGAAGCGACCUCGCGAGAGCAAGCGGACCUCAUAAAGUGCGUCGUAGUCCGGAUUGGAGUCUGCAACUCGACUCCAUGAAGUCGGAAUCGCUAGUAAUC